GCGGGUGUAGUUCAGUGGUAGAACGCGACCUUCCCAAGGUCGAUGUCGUCGGUUCGAUUCCGAUCACCCGCU
RNAcentral lists this transfer RNA (72 nucleotides) under Dichotomicrobium thermohalophilum. It matches the Rfam family "tRNA". Rfam says of the family: Transfer RNA (tRNA) molecules are approximately 80 nucleotides in length. Their secondary structure includes four short double-helical elements and three loops (D, anti-codon, and T loops). Lineage: Bacteria; Pseudomonadati; Pseudomonadota; Alphaproteobacteria; Hyphomicrobiales; Hyphomicrobiaceae. The record is from Rfam by way of RNAcentral.